GACGAACGCUGGCGGCGUGCCUAAUACAUGCAAGUCGAGCGGACGGAUGGGAGCUUGCUCCCAGACCGUCAGCGGCGGACGGGUGAGUAACACGUGGGCAACCUGCCUGUAAGACUGGGAUAACUCCGGGAAACCGGGGCUAAUACCGGAUAACUCUUUCCCUCACAUGAGGGAAAGCUGAAAGAUGGCAUCUCGCUAUCACUUACAGAUGGGCCCGCGGCGCAUUAGCUAGUUGGUGAGGUAACGGCUCACCAAGGCGACGAUGCGUAGCCGACCUGAGAGGGUGAUCGGCCACACUGGGACUGAGACACGGCCCAGACUCCUACGGGAGGCAGCAGUAGGGAAUCUUCCGCAAUGGACGAAAGUCUGACGGAGCAACGCCGCGUGAGUGAUGAAGGUUUUCGGAUCGUGAAACUCUGUUGUCAGGGAAGAACAAGUACCGGAGUAACUGCCGGUACCUUGACGGUACCUGACCAGAAAGCCACGGCUAACUACGUG
RNAcentral lists this ribosomal RNA (498 nucleotides) under uncultured bacterium. RNAcentral's name for it is "partial 16S ribosomal RNA". It matches the Rfam family "Bacterial small subunit ribosomal RNA", at positions 28 to 507 of the family's 1533-position model. The record is from RNAcentral.